Molecule: ribosomal RNA, 253 nt
Filed under: uncultured bacterium
Lineage: Bacteria
Description: partial 16S ribosomal RNA
Rfam family: Bacterial small subunit ribosomal RNA
Source: RNAcentral
UACGUAGGGACCGAGCGUUGUCCGGAAUCAUUGGGCGUAAAGAGCGUGUAGGCGGCUCGCUAAGUCUUGCGUGAAAUCUCGGGGCUCAACCCCGAGCGGUCGUGAGAAACUGGCGGGCUAGAGUGCGGGAGAGGAGAGUGGAAUUCCUGGUGUAGCGGUGAAAUGCGCAGAUAUCAGGAAGAACACCCGCGGCGAAGGCGGCUCUCUGGAACGCAACUGACGCUGAGACGCGAAAGCGUGGGGAGCAAACAGG